RNAcentral lists this unclassified non-coding RNA (347 nucleotides) under soil metagenome. RNAcentral's name for it is "partial contains 5.8S ribosomal RNA, internal transcribed spacer 2, and large subunit ribosomal RNA". The stretch from base 1 to 120 matches the Rfam family "5.8S ribosomal RNA", at positions 35 to 154 of the family's 154-position model. The record is from RNAcentral.
GAUGAAGAACGCAGCGAAAUGCGAUAAGUGAUGUGAAUUGCAGAAUUCAGUGAAUCAUCGAGUCUUUGAACGCACAUUGCGCCCCCUGGUAUUCCGGGGGGCAUGCCUGUCCGAGCGUCAUUGCUGCCCUCAAGCACGGCUUGUGUGUUGGGCCGUCGUCCCCCUCCUAGGGGACGGGCCCGAAAGGCAGCGGCGGCACCGCGUCCGGUCCUCGAGCGUAUGGGGCUUCGUCACCCGCUCCGUAGGCCCGGCCGGCGCUUGCCGACGACCAUCAAUCUCUUUCUCCAGGUUGACCUCGGAUCAGGUAGGGAUACCCGCUGAACUUAAGCAUAUCAAUAAGCGGAGGA